GUGCAUUCCUAUAACUUAGACUGCGCGUCGACGGAUCCCUGGUUAAGCGUGCUAUCUGUGUGGCGACUGUCGGACGGGUGAUUAAUACGUCGGAAUCUACUCUGUCCUGGGGGAUAACGUACGGAAACUUACGCUAAUACCGCUUUAUACCUACAGGUGAAAGCAGGGGAUCUUCUACGACCUUGCGCGAUUGAAUGAGCCGAUGUCGGAUUAGCUAGUUGGCGGGGUAAAGGCCCACCAAGGCGACGAUCCGACUCUGGUCUGAGAGAGAUGAUCAGCCACACUGGAACUGAGACACGGUCCAGACUCCUACGGGAGGCAGAUCUGGGGAAUAUUGGACAAUGGGCGCAAGCCUGAUCCAGCCAUACCGCGUGGGUGAAGAAGGCCUUCCGGUUGUAAAGCCCUUUUGUUGGGAAAGAAAUCCAGCUGGUUAAUACCCGAGUUGGGAUGAGGCGCGUACCCAAGAGAAAUAAAGCACCCGGCUAACUUCAUGCCACCAGCGCGCGAUAAUACGAAGGGGGCAAACGUUACUCAGAAUUACUGGGCGUAAAGCUUGCAUACUGUGGUCGUUUAAGUCCGUUGUGAAAGCCCUGGGCUCUAACCUGGGAACUGCAGUGGAUACUGGGCGACUAGAAUGUGGUAGAGAGGUAGGCGAAUUCCUGGUGUAUUACUGAAAUGCAUGUAGAUCAGGAGGAACAUCCAUGGCGAAGGCAUCUACCUGGACCAACACUGACACUGAUGCACUGAAAGCGUGGGGAGCAAACAAGAUUAGAUACCCUGGUAUUCCACGCCCUAAACUAUGCCAACGUGGAUGUUGGGUGCAAUAUUGACACUCAGUAUCAAAGCUAACGCGUUACAUUCGCCGCCUGGGGAGUACUGUCGCCAAGACUGAAACUCAAAGAAUUGACAGCUGUCACGCAUAAGCGGUGGAGUAUUUGGAUUAAAUCUAUGCAACUCGACGAGCUUACCAUGGACGUGACAUGUCGAUGACUUCCUAGAGAUGGAUUGGAGGCCUUCGGGACUCCCACCACGAUGCCUGCACGGCUGUCGUCAGCUCGUGUCUUGAAUUGGGUGGUCUAAUGCCGCUAGCAGCGCUAACCUUGUACGUAAGUUGGCGAGACACAAACUGGUGUCACCUCUACUGAGACCGCCGGUGACAAACCGGAGGAAGAUGGGGAGGAGGUAAUAGACUUCAUGGCCUCUACGGCCAGGAGUCAGCAUCUAUUACACAAGUUCGAUGAAAGGCGUGCACCCGCCCAAUGAUCGACCUAUCCAUGAGGUGACUAUGUCAGUCCGGAUCAUAGUCUGCAACUCGACUCCAUGAAGUCGGAAUCGCUAGUAAUCGCAGAUCAGCAUUGCUGCGGUGAAUACGUUCCCGGGCCUUGUACACACCGCCCGUCACACCAUGGGAGUUUGUUGCACCAGAAGCAGGUAGCUUAACCUUCGGGAGGGCGCUAACCAUGGAGUUUCUCCGACUGGGGGAAGUUGACCACUUUGAUCAUUCAC
This 1506-nucleotide ribosomal RNA is filed under the name Pseudomonas sp. RNAcentral's name for it is "partial 16S ribosomal RNA". It matches the Rfam family "Bacterial small subunit ribosomal RNA". Lineage: Bacteria; Pseudomonadati; Pseudomonadota; Gammaproteobacteria; Pseudomonadales; Pseudomonadaceae. The record is from RNAcentral.